Long non-coding RNA from Solanum lycopersicum (tomato), 505 nucleotides. RefSeq lists it as uncharacterized. The record is from RefSeq and is a predicted model, not a curated record. NCBI's taxonomy places the organism in Eukaryota, Viridiplantae, Streptophyta, Magnoliopsida, Solanales, Solanaceae.
UGAAGCAAGACGAUGUUUUUCUAUAUUUUCUCAUUGAGAAAUUAGUGUUAUAUGUAUAACAAUAAAUAAAAUUAUUGUAGAAACACUAUUGGUGAGAGGAAUUGUCUUAUGGAGAACUCAGUAGCCUUAAAAGGGAGAUUGGGAAUUCUUUUAAGAAUUCAAAGAGAACUAGAAUAAUGGAUCCCGUGGAAGAAAACACUGAUACUUCUUAUUCAGGUUGUGCAAUUUACUACAAAAAACUAAGCUAGCAAGGGUGUCAUUAGGGUUGGAGGUUUGUGUUGCUUUGAAGGCUAGGUUUCAAGGAUUUAGAAGAGUUGAAGAUCUUGGUUCAGGUUCUCAGCAUGCAGACCAUGCUUAGAUCGAUUCCCGAUCUUUAGUUCAGCAGAAUCAGUGGUGAGUCCUCAUUCACCGAGGACAAGAGUCAUGAGUUCAUUUCAGUCUUUUAGUCAUUUAGUUUCAGUUUUUGCUAGACUUGAAUGGGUCUUGUCCCAACAUUUUUAGUCAG